Peromyscus eremicus (cactus mouse) is the source of this 216-nucleotide long non-coding RNA. RefSeq lists it as uncharacterized. The record is from RefSeq and is a predicted model, not a curated record. NCBI's taxonomy places the organism in Eukaryota, Metazoa, Chordata, Mammalia, Rodentia, Cricetidae. The transcript is spliced from 3 exons.
UGAUCUCAGUGAAAAUCAAAUUCAAGCAAUUCCAAGGAAAGCUUUCCGUGGGGCAGUUGACAUUAAAAAUCUGCAACUGGAUUACAACCAGAUCAGCUGCAUUGAAGACGGAGCAUUUAGAGCUCUAAGAGAUCUAGAAGUACUCACACUCAACAAUAACAAUAUUACUAGACUUUCAGUGGCAAGUUUCAACCAUAUGCCUAAACUUAGGACAUU